ACGCUGCAGCGUGCAGUCGCUGUGUACCUUACCAGAGGUAUGCAGAGGAAAGUCCGAACAUCGCAGGACAGGGUGCCGGCCGAGAGCUUAUGCUCAAGUCCGGGAACACAGGGGAAAGCCCUGUGUUACAGCAAGUGCAACAGAAAGCAAACCGCCCCGGCGAUUGCCGGGGUAAGGGUGAAACGGUGGUGUAAGAGACCACCAGGCGUGCCAGCAAUGGUAUGCGCUGGGUAAACCUCCCCGAUGCAAGGCAGAAUAGGGAAGCUUUCUCCUUGGGGAAAAGGGUUGUCCGCCCAAUUCAUAUGAGGGCUUUGCCCUCCGGGAGUUUCCGGGUGUGCCGCAUCAGAUAAAUGACUGCAUACCUGCCUUUGGCCGGCAGGUAACAGAAUUCGGCUUAUAGCUGCAGCGCCUUU
Prosthecochloris sp. CIB 2401 is the source of this 413-nucleotide non-coding RNA. It matches the Rfam family "Bacterial RNase P class A". Rfam says of the family: Ribonuclease P (RNase P) is a ubiquitous endoribonuclease, found in archaea, bacteria and eukarya as well as chloroplasts and mitochondria. Its best characterised activity is the generation of mature 5'-ends of tRNAs by cleaving the 5'-leader elements of precursor-tRNAs. Lineage: Bacteria; Pseudomonadati; Chlorobiota; Chlorobiia; Chlorobiales; Chlorobiaceae. The record is from Rfam.